This 350-nucleotide transfer-messenger RNA is filed under the name Anaerotruncus massiliensis (ex Togo et al. 2026). RNAcentral describes it as "Anaerotruncus massiliensis Standard tmRNA". It matches the Rfam family "transfer-messenger RNA". From Rfam's summary of the family: Bacterial tmRNA, also known as 10Sa RNA or SsrA, is named for its dual tRNA and mRNA-like properties. Lineage: Bacteria; Bacillati; Bacillota; Clostridia; Eubacteriales; Oscillospiraceae. RNAcentral also lists the same sequence under 2 other names. The record is from RNAcentral.
GGGGCCGUAAAGGUUUCGACGGGGGUCAUGAAGUACGGGUAGCGAGUAGAGGAGCAUGCACCUCUAUAAAAGUAUGACGUUUUUAAAUUAGACGACAACAAUAAUUUAGCUUUUGCGGCUUAAUUAAGCCGUCGUUCUGCCGCGGAGUACCACGGCCGCGGACAGAGCGUCGAUUAGUGGUGAACGAUCCGCCCGAGCGCCUCGUAGGGCUGGAUUGUAUUCGGGGCUACCAAGCUGCGCAGCCUGCCGGACGGCGGCGCGGCAAGGGAAUUUAAAAAGACCGGCUGCACUCGGAGAAGCCUGUAUGGACUGGUUUUCGGACAGGGGUUCGAUUCCCCUCGGCUCCACCA